This 503-nucleotide ribosomal RNA is filed under the name uncultured bacterium. Its description in RNAcentral is "bacterial SSU rRNA". It matches the Rfam family "Bacterial small subunit ribosomal RNA", at positions 29 to 528 of the family's 1533-position model. The record is from RNAcentral.
AUUGAACGCUGGCGGCGUGCCUAACACAUGCAAGUCGAGCGGCAGCGCGGUAGCAAUACUGGCGGCGAGCGGCGGACGGGUGAGCAAUGCUUGGGAAUCUGCCUAUCAGUGGGGGACAACCCGGGGAAACUCGGGCUAAUACCGCAUACGUUCUUCGGAAGAAAGCGGGGGUCGCAAGACCUCGCGCUGAUAGAUGAGCCCAAGUCGGAUUAGCUAGUUGGUGAGGUAAAGGCUCACCAAGGCGACGAUCCGUAGCUGGUCUGAGAGGACGACCAGCCACACCGGAACUGAGACACGGUCCGGACUCCUACGGGAGGCAGCAGUGGGGAAUAUUGGACAAUGGGCGAAAGCCUGAUCCAGCGACGCCGCGUGGGUGAAGAAGGCCUGCGGGUUGUAAAGCCCUUUCGUUGGGGAAGAAAAGUGUCGACCUAAUACGUCGGCACCUUGACGUUACCCAAAGAAGAAGCACCGGCUAACUCUGUGCCAGCAGCCGCGGUAAACAU